UACGUAGGGAGCAAGCGUUGUCCGGAUUUACUGGGUGUAAAGGGCGCGUAGGCGGGAUAACAAGUCAGGUGUGAAAUCCGGGGGCUCAACCCUCGAACUGCACUUGAAACUGUUAUUCUUGAGUGAUGGAGAGGCAAGUGGAAUUCCUAGUGUAGCGGUGAAAUGCGUAGAUAUUAGGAGGAACACCAGUGGCGAAGGCGACUUGCUGGACAUUAACUGACGCUGAGGCGCGAAAGCGUGGGGAGCAAACAGG
RNAcentral lists this ribosomal RNA (253 nucleotides) under uncultured bacterium. Its description in RNAcentral is "partial 16S ribosomal RNA". It matches the Rfam family "Bacterial small subunit ribosomal RNA", at positions 524 to 776 of the family's 1533-position model. The record is from RNAcentral.